AUUGAACGCUGGCGGCAUGCUUUACACAUGCAAGUCGAACGGUAACAGGUUAAGCUGACGAGUGGCGAACGGGUGAGUAAUGCAUCGGAACGUGCCCGGUCGUGGGGGAUAACGCAGCGAAAGCUGCGCUAAUACCGCAUACGAUCUGAGGAUGAAAGCGGGGGACCGUAAGGCCUCGCGCGAUCGGAGCGGCCGAUGUCAGAUUAGGUAGUUGGUGGGGUAAAGGCUCACCAAGCCGACGAUCUGUAGCUGGUCUGAGAGGACGACCAGCCACACUGGGACUGAGACACGGCCCAGACUCCUACGGGAGGCAGCAGUGGGGAAGUUUGGACAAUGGGCGCAAGCCUGAUCCAGCAAUGCCGCGUGCAGGGAGAAGGCCUUCGGGUUGUAAACUGCUUUUGUACGGAGCGAAAAGGCUCUCUCUAAUACAGGGGGCUCAUGACGGUACCGUAAGAAUAAGCACCGGCUAACUACGUGCCAGCAGCCGCCGUAA
Molecule: ribosomal RNA, 493 nt
Filed under: uncultured bacterium
Lineage: Bacteria
Description: partial 16S ribosomal RNA
Rfam family: Bacterial small subunit ribosomal RNA
Source: RNAcentral